Molecule: unclassified non-coding RNA, 194 nt
Filed under: soil metagenome
Description: partial internal transcribed spacer 1
Source: RNAcentral
AUAAAUUUGAAGCUCUGCUUCACAAACAAAACCCGUGUUGCACUGUUUACUGUCUCUGGCAGGAUCAGGGAUGCAAUGUCCCCCCUGUCAAAGGAGUGGGGUCGCCCUUUGGGCGACUCGCUCCUUAGUUGAAAAACUCAUUGUCUGUCUUUUGUCUGAACUUUUCUUCACAUUCGUGUGAGAAAUUGAAAACA